RNAcentral lists this ribosomal RNA (499 nucleotides) under uncultured bacterium. RNAcentral describes it as "partial 16S ribosomal RNA". It matches the Rfam family "Bacterial small subunit ribosomal RNA", at positions 28 to 507 of the family's 1533-position model. The record is from RNAcentral.
GACGAACGCUGGCGGCGUGCUUAACACAUGCAAGUCGAACGGGCCUGUCUUCUUUUUUGGGGGUGGGUUGAGUGGCGAACGGGUGAGUAUCACGUGAGUAACCUGCCCUUCGGUCCUGGAUAACCGCUUGAAAGGGCGGCUAAUACGGGGUGGUCCGGUUGGUCCGCAUGGGCUGGUCGGGAUAGAUUCACUGUUUUUGGUGUUUCGGCGGGGGAUGGGCUCGCGGCCUAUCAGCUUGUUGGUGGGGUGAUGGCCUACCAAGGCGGUGACGGGUAGCCGGCCUGAGAGGGUGGGCGGCCACACUGGGACUGCGCUACGGCCCAGACUCCUGCGGGAGGCAGCAGUGGGGGGUAUUGCACAAUGGGCGGAAGCCUGAUGCAGCGACGUCGCGUGAGGGAUGGAGGCCUUCGGGUUGUGAACCUCUGUUUCCGGUGGUGAAGGCCCUGUCCGUGUGGUGGGGUUGACGGUAGCCGGGGAUGAAGCGCCGGCUAACUACGUG